This 110-nucleotide small nuclear RNA is filed under the name Tursiops truncatus (common bottlenose dolphin). Lineage: Eukaryota; Metazoa; Chordata; Mammalia; Artiodactyla; Delphinidae. The record is from RNAcentral. RNAcentral also lists the same sequence under 1 other name.
GUGCUCGCUUCAGCAGCACAUAUACUAAAAAAAUUGGAACGAUGUAAAGAAGAUUAGCAUGGCCCCUGAACAAGGAUGACAUGCAAAUUCGUGAAGUGUUCCAUAUUUUU